GAUGAAGAACGCAGCGAAAUGCGAUAAGUAAUGCGAAUUGCAGAAUUUCCGUGAGCCAUCGAAUCUUUGAACGCACAUUGCGCCCCCUGGUAUUCCGGGGGGCAUGCCUGUCCGAGCGUCAUUGCUGCCCUCAAGCACGGCUUGUGUGCUGGGCCUCCGUCCUCCUCCCGGGGGACGGGCCCGAAAGGCAGCGGCGGCACCGCGUCCGGUCCUCGAGCGUAUGGGGCUUCGUCACCCGCUCUUGUAGGCCCGGCCGGCGCUUGCCGACACAUCAAUCUUUUUUCCAGGUUGACCUCGGAUCAGGUAGGGAUACCCGCUGAACUUAAGCAUAUCAAUAAGCGGAGGA
RNAcentral lists this unclassified non-coding RNA (346 nucleotides) under soil metagenome. RNAcentral describes it as "partial contains 5.8S ribosomal RNA, internal transcribed spacer 2, and large subunit ribosomal RNA". The stretch from base 1 to 121 matches the Rfam family "5.8S ribosomal RNA", at positions 35 to 154 of the family's 154-position model. The record is from RNAcentral.